GAGUUUGAUCGUGGCUCAGAUUGAACGCUAGCGGGAUGCCUUACACAUGCAAGUCGAACGGCAGCACGGACUUCGGUCUGGUGGCGAGUGGCGAACGGGUGAGUAAUGUAUCGGAACGUGCCUAGUAGCGGGGGGAUAACUACGCGAAAGCGUAGCUAAUACCGCAUACGCCCUACGGGGAAGGCAGGGGAGUCGCAAGACCUUGCACUAUUAGAGCGGCC
RNAcentral lists this ribosomal RNA (221 nucleotides) under uncultured microorganism. RNAcentral describes it as "partial 16S ribosomal RNA". It matches the Rfam family "Bacterial small subunit ribosomal RNA", at positions 9 to 231 of the family's 1533-position model. The record is from RNAcentral.